RNAcentral lists this long non-coding RNA (2913 nucleotides) under Homo sapiens (human). RNAcentral's name for it is "non-protein coding lnc-WDR70-7:16". The record is from RNAcentral. Lineage: Eukaryota; Metazoa; Chordata; Mammalia; Primates; Hominidae.
AUUCCCUUCAGCUUCAGGAGUGAGUUGAUUAUUCACAUGUUCUUUUUAGGGGGUUUAAGCUGCUAGUCCUUAAAGAAUAGAUGCUGAAGGUUGUCAUUGAUUCCUCUUUCCUUCCUCCCACGUCUGCUCUGGGCCUUCUCAUUGAUGUAGUAUCUUAGGUUACUUCCAAAAUAAUUUGAGAAAUGGAUUUAUAGAAGAAGCUAGCUUUCCAGUAGAAAAGUUUAGAUGACAAGAUUAAUGUGAUAAGAACUAAGAAAGCCCUUCCUAGUUUUCAUUGAAAAUGUGUUUUUAAUGCCCAGAGGUGCCCAGUCAAAAAGGAAAUAUUACAGAAGGAUUAUUUUCAUCAGCAGAGUUCUUGGGCAUUGCAAGUUCCAGUGUAAUUAGGGAAAUCACAUGCGAGUACAUCAAUACACUUCAGAUGCCAAUACAUUGGGCUUAAUGAGGACAACAAGCCUGCUUUUAUUAGGGGAUUGAAUAAAAGUGAAAGGAGUUCUUGAAAAGAAUUGGUAAUUUUGGAUGGGAUAAUUCAUCACUUCACUCCAGAUCAGUUUUUCACAGUAAGAAGUGCUGGCUCUUCAGAAAAUUUGGCAUAACCAAAGUUUAUUGUCACUAUCUCCUCCUUCUCACAUUGUCCUUUGUCGCACCCCCAGCAGGUCCACAGUGAUCCUGCGGGCCACCCCCAUGGACCCUGCCCGUUUUCUUCCAUCGGGGGCUAUCUUACGUCAGUCUUUCAAGGUCUCCUCAGUAAUGCAGGCCAGUUGGAUUUUUGCUUUCUUUUCCCAGAGGACAAUUCAGCCUCAGCGUCUUAGUCUAAAAGGAUUCAUGCAAGCGUGUCAGAUGUUUUAUUAGGCUAAGGGGGAGGUAUUUUGGGUUGUGGGGAGCACUUACUGCAACCCUGUAUGAAAUUCCCUACUCAGUGAUGUUCAGGCUGCACGGGCCAACAUGGAAAGGGCUUAAGGGAGAUGACAAAAACAAAAUCUCUUCUUCCACAAAGAUUUUCAGUUGAUCAAUUUUGUUACUUUUUUGUGAUGAAACUAUCUGCACUGCAGCUAAUGAUUUUUUUCUGAAGGUGGAAAAGGUAGGAGCAACAGCUUUCAGUUCUAAGGAUACAUUCUGUUGACCUUCAUAAGCCCUAGGAACUAGAGGGGCAAGAUUGAGGAGGAAAUAGAGAAAAUAAUUUGCUCUAUAGUAUUUUCCCCCUGAGCUGCCAUCUGGGGCUUUCAGAGCUUAGCACUGCACUCUUGCAAUGUUGCACACACCACAGGAGCAAUAUCAAGAGAUGUCAAACAUGAGUGGUAUUGGUCACUGGAAACAGCAGAUUCCAAAUAGCUGUCUCACCAGACUAUUCUUUCAGAAGAUUCAUUUGUGCCAACUACUUCUUUGUCAUGGAUCCUUCCUGGUUCUGCAACACAGAUGUGGAAAGUGAAGAGAACACGUCAUGGAAUUCCAUUUCUAAGAGUGGAAAAUAUACAAUUUACCAUGGGAUGUUUAAGAUAUUAAUAUAUUGUUCACCAUGUGUAUCCAGAGCUUUAGUAGAAGUAGGUUAAAAGAGCCGUGCAUGUAUACACGGUGCUCCUCAUUGUCAAACGCUGAAGCCUGUUACAGGCUGGGUUUGGGGGCUGGGGGUACUUACGGGACAAAGUCUGACUCUCGGUCUGUAGGCUGAGUGCCUUCUUAGUGUGUUGGGACUCAGCAUGUAUUCACCCCAUCUGUACUCACAAGCCUAAUUCAUUAAUCAGGAUGACUUACUGGGCUGUGAGCCCUUUGAGGACAGGACCUUGUACCUUUAUCUUGUGCCUCUCAUGCCUAGCAUAGCACCAGGCAUGUAACACGUUCUUUUUAAAAAAGUGUUUUACAGCUUUAUCAAGGCAUACAUGAUGUCAGAUCAACUGCAUGUGUUUAAAGUUUUACACUUGAUGAGUUUUGAUAUAUGUCUAUACCCGUGAAACCAUCACUGCAAUCAAGAUAAUAAACGCAUUCAUCCACCCUAAAGUUUCUCGUGUCCCUUUGCAAGCCACCCCCCUUCCUCCCAUUGUUCCCAGACAACCACUAUUCUGCUUUCUGUCACUGCAGAUGAGUUUGUGUUUUCUGGAAUUUUAUAUAAGUGGAAUCAUACAACAUGUACUCUGUUUUUCUGGCUGUUUUCACUCAGCAUAAUUUUCUCAAGAUUCAUUGAAGUUUUAUAUAUUAAUAGUUUGCUACAUUUCAUUGCUGAAUAGUAUUCCAUUGUAUAAAUCAUAAUAGGCACCUAACAAGUGUUUGUGGCUUUACACUGACUUGAAAAUUAAUUUUUAAGAAUAUAAUUGGGCAAAAAGUGGACAAUGGGAUACCACUCUAUUCUUGGUGAGUGGGUUCACUCAGGAAGUGGAAAUAAGAAUCAGGAGAUAAUUUGGCAUGGUAGAGACUUUUGUUGUCAUCCAAUAUCUAUUUUUCCUUCUUUCUUAGUACUGGAAUACCUGAGUUUUGGCUGGGCACAGAACUGUCUGGAAUACAGACUGCAAUUCCCAGCCUUCUGUGCAGUUCUGUGUGGCCAUGUGACUAAGUUGUGGUCAAUAUGAGUCACGGAAGAAUAGAAGAACAACUCAGAGGAGGAAGAAGUCAGACAUAGCCAGACACGGCUGCUAGCAGUUCCACCAAUGAAAGAGGAGACCAGGAUGUUUAAAACAGGCAAACACAAGGUGCGAAAAACCAGAAGCGAAAACUUCUGAGGUCAUUUAAGCAAGGACUAUCGUUAUCCCCGGAAGCAGAGAGAAGUUCCCUUUGCCCAACAUCACACUGCAAGCACGUGUUGGAGCUGAGAUUCAAACCCAGGCAUCCAGGGUCCAGGGCCCAUGCUUUUAAUAUAUUCCAUAUCUUAGGAGAAUUUCCCCUAUUUAAACAAUAAAAGUGCAAAAAUCUUGUGGCUAGCCAAAA